RNAcentral lists this ribosomal RNA (501 nucleotides) under uncultured bacterium. RNAcentral's name for it is "bacterial SSU rRNA". It matches the Rfam family "Bacterial small subunit ribosomal RNA", at positions 28 to 518 of the family's 1533-position model. The record is from RNAcentral.
GACGAACGCUGGCGGCGUGGAUUAGGCAUGCAAGUCGAACGGUAGGAUACCUUCGGGUAUCUGAGAGUGGCGAACGGGUGAGUAACACGUAGGUGAUCUACCCUCAAGAUUGGGACAACCCAGGGAAACUUGGGCUAAUACCGGAUGAAAGCAGCAGUGAUGUUGUUUGAAAGGUGGCGUAAGCUGCCGUUUGGGGAUGAGCCUGCGCUCUAUUAGUUAGUUGGCGGGGUAAAGGCCCACCAAGGCGAUGAUAGAUAGGCGGCCUUAACGGGUGGUCGCCCACACUGGGAUUGAGAUACGGCCCAGACUCCUACGGGAGGCAGCAGUCGAGAAUAGUCUACAAUGGCCGAAAGGCUGAUAGUGCGACGCCGCGUGAACGAAGAAGCCCUUCGGGGUGUAAAGUUCUUUUAUAUGUGAGCAGUGCUUCUUAUAUUAACAGUAUGGGGAAGAGAUAUUAGCAUAUGAAUAAGCAAACGGCUAAACUCCGUGCCAGCAGCCGAC